AGAAAAUGUGACAAGAUAAUAAUAAGGAGCCUAACAACACCUCUUCACCGUACGAUCGUUUCCGAGGUCAACGUUAUUUGCCUGGUUGGAAAAUUCGUUUUCUGCAUCAAUCUUUUGUUUUUUUAUUUCCCGGGCAAGGGUAAAAAAUGCCUCAUCUACAUUGACGUUCGUCUUCGCACUAGCUUCUAAAAAUUUAACGCCCAGCUC
Molecule: non-coding RNA, 207 nt
Organism: Schizosaccharomyces pombe (fission yeast)
Lineage: Eukaryota; Fungi; Ascomycota; Schizosaccharomycetes; Schizosaccharomycetales; Schizosaccharomycetaceae
Source: the annotation of a GenBank genome assembly